GACGAACGCUGGCGGCGUGCUUAACACAUGCAAGUCGAACGGUACGGCCCUUCGGGGUACACGAGUGGCGAACGGGUGAGUAACACGUGGGUGAUCUGCCCUGCACUUCGGGACAAGCCUGGGAAACUGGGUCUAAUACCGGAUAGGACCAUUGCCUGCAUGGGUGGCGGUGGAAAGCUUCUGCGGUGUGGGAUGGGCCCGCGGCCUAUCAGCUUGUUGGCGGGGUAAUGGCCUACACAAGCGACGACGGGUAGCCGGCCUGAGAGGGUGACCGGUCACACUGAGACUGAGAUACGGCCCAUACGCCUACGGGAGGCAGCAGUGGGGAAUAUUGCACAAUGGGCGCAAGCCUGAUGCAGCGACGCCGCGUGAGGGAUGACGGCCUUCGGGUUGUAAACCUCUUUCAGCUAUGACGAAGCGCAAGUGACGGUAGUAGCAGAAGAAGGACCGGCCAACUACGUGCCAGCAGCCGCGGUAA
This 478-nucleotide ribosomal RNA is filed under the name uncultured bacterium. RNAcentral's name for it is "partial 16S ribosomal RNA". It matches the Rfam family "Bacterial small subunit ribosomal RNA", at positions 28 to 523 of the family's 1533-position model. The record is from RNAcentral.